GUACUCUGUAUGGGCAGACAGCUGAAGUCUUCUGAUGUGGUUUGGUGUUAGUCAGUAUAGAUUGAAGCUUUCUGAAAUUACCUAAUACAUGAGCGCUGCUACUCACAGAUGUGGUCAGACUGGAACUGAACAGUGUUAUUCCAAAUGGAGCUGAAAAGUAAAGGAAAAUCAAGGGGCAUUUGUUCCUGUGAAAGGGCAGAAAUACUGGAGGCAGCCGGGAAAACAGUUGUGCAGCUUGGAAACACAGAAUUCUAACAUAUGGAAAACUAUCAAUAUGUAAUAUCUUUAUUUCAUGAAUGGUGGAUGUAACGUGGCACAUAAGGUGACAUACAUUUCUACCUAUCUAUCUGUCUAAAAGGUGGCUAAGUCAAAGAUAAUUAGCAGAGACACUCUUGUAGUCAGUGGAUAAAACCAGGCUUUGCCAGAAGGCAAUUUCUCUCAGGCUGAGAUUGGUCAAAUGAAUUGCUCUUUGAAGUUGCCUUUUGAUUGUGGAUUGACCAUGGCAGUUGACACCUAGGCAACUAACUUUCCAACAUCUAUAAUUACAUCAUUUAAAUCCUAUUGCUUUUACUUUCACAUGGUUUGUCACAGUUGGGCUCAUCUGUAGUUGAUUUCCUAAAUGGUAGGAGAUGAGAAUGGAUUUGAGAGGAAGGCAGUUGCCAUUUGUGUAUUUUCAGAAGCAAGCUCAAAUUUGAAUAUGCCUUCCUAGGAAUUCUUUGAGUUAGGCCAAGGCAGCAGCAGAAUCUCACACAGAUCACAAAGUUUCUCUUUUCCCCAGUACCCACUUCAGAUUUGCAAAGCUAGAUGGAAAAAUUGAGAAAGCCACAGAAAAGAUCUUAUCCAUUGGAUUCAUUUUGAUUCAAGCCUCACAGAAAAAAAUCAUAGGCUGUUAUAAUCUGCAUUUUAUUGGGAAGAGUGACAACUGCAAAUAUUGCUGUGAGCUAUUACCCUGAGUUCCACACAGGCAGCAUUUACCUUAGCAAUUUCAUCAUUUGCAGUGAGAAACACUGGCCUCAACACAAGCAUGAAUAGAUGGUUUCUAAAUGACUAACUUGCUACCAGGACAGAGCAAUGGGAUAUUGAUCUACCUUUCAGAGUUGAUGAUAUGGCAGUUAAGAGUUGCACACUUUUGCUUUGGA
Molecule: long non-coding RNA, 1139 nt
Organism: Zonotrichia leucophrys gambelii
Lineage: Eukaryota; Metazoa; Chordata; Aves; Passeriformes; Passerellidae
Exons: 3
Source: RefSeq, a predicted model, not a curated record